CCCUUAGAUGUUCUGGGCCGCACGCGUGCUACACUGAGUGGAUCAGCGGGUCAGGUUGCGCGAAAGUGUUUCCUAAUCUUUAAAUCCGCUCGUGAUGGGGAUUGACGGUUGCAAUUUUCCGUCAUGAACGAGGAAUACCUUGUAAGCGCGGGUCAUCAUCCCGCGCUGAAUACGUCCCUGCCCUUUGUACACACCGCCCGUCGCUCCUACCGAUUGAGUGGUCCGGUGAGGCUUUGGGAUCUGAGCAAAGAGAGCGUUUCGCUCGUUUUGCUCGGAAAACUCAGUCGAACCUUAUCAUUUAGAGGAAGGAGAAGUCGUAACA
Molecule: ribosomal RNA, 322 nt
Filed under: uncultured eukaryote
Lineage: Eukaryota
Description: partial 18S ribosomal RNA
Rfam family: Eukaryotic small subunit ribosomal RNA
Source: RNAcentral